Molecule: transfer RNA, 61 nt
Filed under: Ictidomys tridecemlineatus (thirteen-lined ground squirrel)
Lineage: Eukaryota; Metazoa; Chordata; Mammalia; Rodentia; Sciuridae
Description: Spermophilus tridecemlineatus (thirteen-lined ground squirrel) tRNA
Rfam family: tRNA
About the family: Transfer RNA (tRNA) molecules are approximately 80 nucleotides in length. Their secondary structure includes four short double-helical elements and three loops (D, anti-codon, and T loops). Further hydrogen bonds mediate the characteristic L-shaped molecular structure. tRNAs have two regions of fundamental functional importance: the anti-codon, which is responsible for specific mRNA codon recognition, and the 3' end, to which the tRNAs corresponding amino acid is attached (by aminoacyl-tRNA synthetases). tRNAs cope with the degeneracy of the genetic code in two manners: having more than one tRNA (with a specific anti-codon) for a particular amino acid; and 'wobble' base-pairing, i.e. permitting non-standard base-pairing at the 3rd anti-codon position.
Source: Rfam by way of RNAcentral
UGUGGCUCAGUGGUAGAGCACUUGCCUAGCAUGUGUGAGGUCCUGGGUUCAAUCCUCAGCA